CCAUAAUGUGUUCUUUUGAUUAUAUUAGGGUUCAUCGGUGACUGACGGUAUUAUCCGGAAGGAUAUUUUGGAUAUUAUUUUACGUAAAUAGGUGAGUGUUUCUUGUUUGUUAUGUUUUCUUGAUUAUAUGGCUUGUAUGAAUGAUUGAUAACAUGUUAAAUGCGUUCAAUGAUUGCCAAAACGAGUUUUCUAGACGAGUGUGUACUUUAUCGUACUCGACCUAAAUGAAUGUGGAAUUUUCAAUAAUCCAAUGAUUGAAACGUUACUUAUGCAUGAAUGUAAGCCUUUUGGCUGAACUGGGCUCUGCCUUUCGUUGCCGAUCGACUCGAGCCAGAAGCGGACUCGGUCAGGCGAUUUGGUGACCUUGGGUGAAUGUUUGGUAUACUCGAGUAUUACCUUGUAGUUUGGUGGAGUCCAGCCAACGUCUGGAAGGGGGUGAAUGAAAUAAAUGAACGAUUGAUAUUGCAAAUGAGGGGUUUUACUUACAAAAAUACAUUUUCAAAUGAUUUGAGGAAAAAGGGAAUGAAAGGAGAAUGAAUGAACGAAUGAAUGAAUGGCUCCUUGUGAGCACGUAUCCUUUUAAUAAAUGUGUUAUUAUUGCUUUCCAUUGUCAAUGUCUUUUGAAUUAUUGGUUAUCUAUGGUUAAUGCAUUAGCUUUAUUGUUUGAUUGUGUGUUUGGAACCUCAUUGAGCUUUUAGUUCAUUCUAUUAGUUUUGUUUUUCUUAACAGGGGAUGCAAGUAAGGACGACAGAUCUGUACAGGCUAGCCUAAUCUAGUUCUUUUGAAUUUUUGUAAUGGUUCUCGCCCUAGUGCUUGAAUAUGGUUGGUUGUAUUAAGAACUGAGAACUUUCAUUUUA
Molecule: long non-coding RNA, 857 nt
Filed under: Coffea arabica (coffee)
Lineage: Eukaryota; Viridiplantae; Streptophyta; Magnoliopsida; Gentianales; Rubiaceae
Description: long non-coding RNA (CARA_LNC007368)
Source: RNAcentral